ACGGGGAAGAUGGUGCAAAUCCAUCACGGUGCCGCCACUGUAAGCGGGGAGUGACUCUGCAGCAUGCCACUGUGUGCCUCGGCACAUGGGAAGGCGCAGAGAAGCGAUGAUCCGUAAGUCAGGAGACCC
Nitrospira sp. SG-bin1 is the source of this 129-nucleotide non-coding RNA. The record is from Rfam. NCBI's taxonomy places the organism in Bacteria, Pseudomonadati, Nitrospirota, Nitrospiria, Nitrospirales, Nitrospiraceae.